Anolis sagrei ordinatus is the source of this 584-nucleotide long non-coding RNA. RefSeq lists it as uncharacterized. Lineage: Eukaryota; Metazoa; Chordata; Lepidosauria; Squamata; Anolidae. The record is from RefSeq and is a predicted model, not a curated record.
AGGCCGCGAUUGAGGCCUACUCGGUCUUUCGGCGCCAGGCGGAGGUGAGGGAUGCAUGUCUCUGCGCUAUGUUUCUUUCCAGACUCUUCCUCCUCAAGGAAUGGACCAGGAUAUGUCUCCACCUUCCAGACCAAGAUGGCUCCCCCCUUGACCCUUGGUAGAAGAGGCUGUCCUACGCUAGAGGAAAAGAUGUAGCAUGUUGAAUAUGCUUGGAAGCCCAGAAGCUAUUGCAAUCUACAGACAGGAGGAGUUGGCUGCAGACUUUUUUUUUUUUUUUUAGCAAUUGUUUAAUGUGUCCCGUCGAAGGUAAGAAUAGGAACGUAAGAAUGCCGAAGCCUCGAAACUUAAUCCCUUGACAAAGCUGACACUUCAUUGGUGUUCGAUCGAUAGAGGAAACUUGAAACGCCGUCUUGGUUUCCCGUUUUUAAAAAAGUUAGCGUUGCCUUCCUGCUCGUCUUAACUUAGAUUCCCUUGCCGGUGUCCUUGGCACGGCUUAUCUGUGCCCUUUCCCAGGGAAUUCUUUCCAUCAGGAGAUGCACCCAUGUGCCUCGUGUUCAUGCUUCAAACUAAAUGGCCUUGGAACA